Long non-coding RNA from Centruroides sculpturatus (bark scorpion), 643 nucleotides. RefSeq lists it as uncharacterized. Lineage: Eukaryota; Metazoa; Arthropoda; Arachnida; Scorpiones; Buthidae. The record is from RefSeq and is a predicted model, not a curated record. The transcript has 3 exons.
AGUUAGCAAAAUCGCCUGUUCAUACAAUUUUUGGCUAUUUUCUGAAGAAUUUGGUACACGAAAUUUUAGACCUUUGGGCUAUAUUUAUGUGGCAACACUAUACGAGAGAGUUUACUUAUAGUCUGCAUAUGUUUUGAAAAGUUUCGUGUGAUUUUUAUUUUAUUAGAAAGUACUUAACAGCGAAAUUUUAGAAUUAAUGGAAGAAGGUUUGGGUUAUUAUUUAAUGUUGUUACCUGUCACGAUACCAGUGGUACUGUUCUUCAUGUUUUGGGCUUGGAUGGGUUUUCAACUUUACAUCAAUAAUUAAAAACCUAUGCAAAACAGAUUUUGCACUGCUUUUCAUGUGAAAUAAAGAAGCAAGAAUGACACUACAAUCAUUGGAAAAUUUUUUGAGAAAAAACCAUGCAAUAUAUUCAUUUUUAAUAAUAAAAUGCUUCAUUGUUAAACAAGAGCACUACUAUAUUAAAAAUCAUAUUUAUAAAUUAAACAGAGAGCAACAUUUUAUAUUGGAUUUAUAGAAAGUAACAUGUCAUUAUAAAUCUAUAGAUAAUAAGGUUUUUUUCUAUUGCCAAGAAAGUGUUAAGCUUUUUAUUCAGAGAUCAUUAAAGAGUAAUUCAAGAAUGUUAUCUUGAGAGAAGAGAAA